GCAUCAAUGGCCGAGCGGUUAAGGCGCCAGUUUCAAGCACUGGUUCGAAAGAGCGUAGGUUCGAAUCCUGCUUGAUGCA
Picochlorum sp. SENEW3 is the source of this 79-nucleotide non-coding RNA. The record is from the annotation of a GenBank genome assembly. Lineage: Eukaryota; Viridiplantae; Chlorophyta; Trebouxiophyceae.